Molecule: ribosomal RNA, 494 nt
Filed under: uncultured bacterium
Lineage: Bacteria
Description: partial 16S ribosomal RNA
Rfam family: Bacterial small subunit ribosomal RNA
Source: RNAcentral
GACGAACGCUGGCGGCGUGCUUAACACAUGCAAGUCGAACGGUGAAGCGCCUUCCUUUUUGGUGGGUGUGGAUGAGUGGCGAACGGGUGAGUAACACGUGAGUAACCUGCCCCCUUCUUCUGGAUAACCGCAUGAAAGUGUGGCUAAUACGGGAUAUUCUGGGUCUGUCGCAUGAUGGGUCUGGGAAAGAUAUUGUUUCGGUGGGGGAUGGGCUCGCGGCCUAUCAGCUUGUUGGUGGGGUGAUGGCCUACCAAGGCGGUGACGGGUAGCCGGCCUGAGAGGGUGGACGGUCACACUGGGACUGAGACACGGCCCAGACUCCUACGGGAGGCAGCAGGGGGGAAUAUUGCACAAUGGGCGCAAGCCUGAUGCAGCGCCGCCGCGGGAGGGAUGGAGGCCUGCGGGUUGUGAACCUCUUUCGCCAGUGAAGCAGGCUUGCCUCGUUUGUGGGUGGGUUGACGGUAGCUGGAUAAGAAGCGCCGGCUAACUACGUG